GAUGAACGCUGGCGGCGUGCCUAAUACAUGCAAGUCGAGCGAACGGACGAGAAGCUUGCUUCUCUGAUGUUAGCGGCGGACGGGUGAGUAACACGUGGAUAACCUACCUAUAAGACUGGGAUAACUUCGGGAAACCGGAGCUAAUACCGGAUGAUAUUUUGAACCGCAUGGUUCAAAAGUGAAAGACGGUCUUGCUGUCACUUAUAGAUGGAUCCGCGCUGCAUUAGCUAGUUGGUAAGGUAAUGGCUUACCAAGGCAACGAUGCAUAGCCGACCUGAGAGGGUGAUCGGCCACACUGGAACUGAGACACGGUCCAGACUCCUACGGGAGGCAGCAGUAGGGAAUCUUCCGCAAUGGGCGAAAGCCUGACGGAGCAACGCCGCGUGAGCGAUGAAGGUCUUCGGAUCGUAAAACUCUGUUAUUAGGGAAGAACAUAUGUGUAAGUAACUGUGCACAUCUUGACGGUACCUAAUCAGAAAGCCACGGCUAACUACGUG
Molecule: ribosomal RNA, 497 nt
Filed under: uncultured bacterium
Lineage: Bacteria
Description: partial 16S ribosomal RNA
Rfam family: Bacterial small subunit ribosomal RNA
Source: RNAcentral